RNAcentral lists this ribosomal RNA (270 nucleotides) under uncultured bacterium. RNAcentral's name for it is "partial 16S ribosomal RNA". It matches the Rfam family "Bacterial small subunit ribosomal RNA", at positions 793 to 1055 of the family's 1533-position model. The record is from RNAcentral.
GUCCACGCCGUAAACGAUGUGUGCUGGGUGUCGGGGGUAUUCACCCCCUCGGUACCGAAGCUAACGCGAUAAGCACACCGCCUGGGGAGUACGGCCGCAAGGUUGAAACUCAAAGGAAUUGACGGGGGCCCGCACAAGCGGUGGAGUAUGUGGUUUAAUUCGACGCAACGCGAAGAACCUUACCCAGCCUUGACAUGCUCGGAACCCGAUGGAAACAUCGGGGUGCCAUCGCAAGAUGGAGCCGGGACACAGGUGCUGCAUGGCUGUCGU